RNAcentral lists this non-coding RNA (23 nucleotides) under Arabidopsis thaliana (thale cress). Lineage: Eukaryota; Viridiplantae; Streptophyta; Magnoliopsida; Brassicales; Brassicaceae. The record is from RNAcentral.
UCCAUUGAUGUAUCUUACAAAGA